Long non-coding RNA from Trichosurus vulpecula (common brushtail), 453 nucleotides. RefSeq lists it as uncharacterized. The record is from RefSeq and is a predicted model, not a curated record. NCBI's taxonomy places the organism in Eukaryota, Metazoa, Chordata, Mammalia, Diprotodontia, Phalangeridae. The transcript is spliced from 3 exons.
AGCCAGAGAAGGAAACGGAAGACCACUCCAGUAUCUCUGCCAAGAAAAUCCCAAUGCGGUCACAAAGAACUGAACAGGAAGAAGAAGCUUAAACUGUAUGACUGAGAGGACCCGUUUGAAAGCAUCUGAAAGCACCAGGACAACGCUGCAAGGCAUUGUUGUGUCUCAGUUCAUUUACCCUGAGUUAGAGAUGCAUCACUAUUCAAAGAAGACCCUAGUAUGAAUCAUUGGAAGCUACAGAAGAGAAAUGGCAAGACAGAAGGAAGAAAAUGUGAAGACUUUGCCCCUGCUUGAAAAAAGCAGAGCCGGAGAAUCGGAAGAAAAGAGCGGCUGCUCCGCAUGGAGUUGGAAUGCAAUCACAAAGAAGUCAGUUUUGGAGAGCUCAUUGGAGGAAAGCGGAAUCCUUCUGCUGGAAGAACCAUCUGGGUCCAGCGGCAAGAUGUUCUGGAGGAG